UGAUAUUUGUUUUAGGAAAGC
RNAcentral lists this non-coding RNA (21 nucleotides) under Arabidopsis thaliana (thale cress). The record is from RNAcentral. Lineage: Eukaryota; Viridiplantae; Streptophyta; Magnoliopsida; Brassicales; Brassicaceae.